Molecule: long non-coding RNA, 2926 nt
Organism: Heterocephalus glaber (naked mole-rat)
Lineage: Eukaryota; Metazoa; Chordata; Mammalia; Rodentia; Bathyergidae
Source: Ensembl
UUUAAAUUUUGUAAAAUGCAGUUUGCAGAAAACAGUCCAACAGUAACUACACUAAUGAUAGGAGAAGCAGCAUUAUGAAACUAAUUUUACAAUUGAGGAGACGACAAUUUUUUUUCUAAAUUUCAUUAAAAAAAUAUACAUCACAGUGACUUCUGAGCUAGGAAAAGAAGUACAGUAACUUCAUUAUGUUUUCCCUUCCACAAAAAGCAGCCGCAACUUUGAAUAUGUCCACACACAGAAAUACCCAAUUCAUUUAUCAGUCUUUGAAAAUACUAUGAACACACAAAGGAGGAAGAAAAUAUACAGCAUGUGCUUUUGGUUAACAUAUAAUUUGCUGGGGUGCGGGGAGCAGAAACACAAAUGAACCCCACCAUACCCUUCCACACCUAAAACCAAAAAACCCUUCACCAACUCCCUUCUCCAACCUUGCUGAUGGAAUUCUUUUCAUGUGAUUUGUAGUUUUCUUUUCCUUUAAUAUUUACUUCUUUGUCACACAACAAGCCAGAGUUUGCCUCUGCCUGAAUCCCUUAAAGGCAGCUGGGAAGCCCACUGCACCAGGUGUGUCAUCCAACACUGCACUCCUUAGGGAUUUUAUUUUUCUCCCCAAACAAGUAUUUGAAUAAAACACAAGUUUUUACAAUAAAAGUUUAUCAACCUACAAUCCAUGGAGAAUUUAUUCAAUUGUAAAUGUAUGAAUCCUAAGAGAAUAAUUAUAGUAAAAUAACCAAAACAAGACAAAAAUAUCCAUUUUUCUUUAUACCAAUUAGCCAUAUGGUAUAUAUUUAAAAUACCUUCUAGUGAAGGCAAGGCCAAAAAGUUUCUACAGAAAUUUACAAAAAAGCUCAGUGUGACGAAAUUACCACCUAAAGUACAACAAACUACUAAAAAACAUACUAACUUGCUCCAAAAACUAAAUAUAACUUAGAAUUGCCAGUUAUUACAAUUAUCCAAAAUACUAGAAACCCAAUUUGUGCCUGUCCAUAACAUAAUGAAAUCUUGUUUGAGUUUCAUACCUUCCAUUGGGCACAAGAAUCAAAGGCCAUUCAGCAAACCCACCAUGGAUCAGUAUCAGUGCAAAGACAGAUUCAUUAGAUAAAUUCUUUGCAACUUCAGAAGGCUUCAAUUAGUUAACUUAAAAGAUAUUACAUAACCUAUGAACUCACCAACUAUAGAGUAAUUAAAAACUUUUAAACUCAACUGUUGAUUCUCAUCUGUUCAUUAAUCUCUCUCCAGUACCAGUUUCUGGGGCAGAUACCUUACACAGAAAAAAAAAAAAAUUCACAUGAUAAUCAUAAAAAUUCUAUGUACUAAAUUUUUUGCAGCUAUCACCAAUCAAGUAAUAAAAAAUGAAAAUAACUGUUAAAGACUAUUAAGUUAAAGACAGGUAUGAACUGUAAACUCAGAUGUAACUGUAAAAUCAAUAUGAUGGGAAAAAUUAAACAACUGAUUUCUAGGCAAACAAUGUCCAAAGUAAACAUUAAAGAAGGCACAACUGGGAUGGGGAUUUAGCUCAGUGGUUCCGGUGCCUGCCUUGCAAGUGCAAGGACCCGAGUUUGAUCCCCGGUACCAAAAACAAAAACAAAAACAAAACAAAACAAAAAAAGAUGGCACAACUACUAAAAAUGUAAUAAAAGGAAAGGACCUCUUGAGGCUUUGCUAUUCAGAUGUGAGUGUAGAUCUUAGGGUAUAAAUUAAUUCUGCCUAAUCAUCGUUUUCCAAGUUUUUUAUACUCUGAAAAUGUCCUUUUUCAUCUCAACUCCUUCACAUCUGUUUUAUGGAAACAGCUAGUAAAGCUUUUUUAAAAAAGACCCCUAUAUAUAAUGCUUAGAAUAGAGUUGUCUUUUGGUAACACUGCAUAUGAAAUUACCUUUCCUCCCUAUGGAUACUUUUUGAAACUCAAGAUUUGGAAAGUACUUGUCGAUAUUCUUAAUAGAUAAAACUCACGGACUUUAAAAAAUGUGUUAUCAGAAAUUCUUUCUUAAAUAGUACCUGUCUUAAAGUUCAAAUAAUUUGUCAGUUUUAAAAAUGCAACUUACUGAAUUUUUAAAACAAUAAUUUAAAAUAUAUAACAGAUCAUAGAGCUUGGGUACUCAGACUCAAUAUAUAUAUACAUAUAUAUAUAUUUUUUUUUCUGAUACUGGGGAUUGAACUCAGGACCUUGCACUUGUGAGGCAGGCACGGUGCCACUGAGCUAAAUUCCCGGCCCUCAAUAAUUCUUAAUGUGGGUCUGUGGUCAGUUCCUAAGGAAUCACUCUGAAUUAUAAUAAACAUCUACUACUUUUACAGGAAAUAAAAUUAGGAAAAAAAUCCAUUCUGGAUAUUUGUUUCAAGAUAUUUUAAACAAACUUAGAAUCAUUACACUAUUCUGCAACAGCUACAAUGCCAAAUGAUUACUAUAUUAAUCAAUAAUGGGAAGUAUUAUGCUAAGCAUCACUAUUCAGUACAAAUAGCACUGGGUAGCUAAUGGAGUUAUCAAGAAUCUACCUUGGUAAUAAAGUUAACACUAUACUGACAAAUAUUAAAGUACAAAACUCUCUAGAGUCCACUAUUGAUUGGAAUUUUGAAAUUUCUUUUAAAAUGAGGCAGGUUUUGUGUUUGCUGGAUGUUCAAUGUUUUCUUCAGAAGAGAUAUUACAGAAUAAAAGGCCACACAUCACAAAAAUGGCAAAAUACAACACACAAAAUUCUGAAUGGACUUUGGAUGUGUUUAGUGUUUAACUCUGUAAGCUACCAAAUUUUGCAACUUUCUGUUUUACUCUACAUGGCAGUGUUUUACAUGCCAAGUUAAAAUAAUAUUAACAGUGAUGGUACAAAGCCAUAAAGCCACCUGAGUAGAAAGAAACCAGAGUCAUAAACAUGCUAUAGCCUCAUACAUUUAUAGAAAAGAUGCUCUUUUUUUUUGCCAUUUGAAACUCACAGCUAUGAGA